RNAcentral lists this ribosomal RNA (497 nucleotides) under uncultured bacterium. RNAcentral's name for it is "partial 16S ribosomal RNA". It matches the Rfam family "Bacterial small subunit ribosomal RNA", at positions 28 to 507 of the family's 1533-position model. The record is from RNAcentral.
GAUGAACGCUGGCGGCGUGCCUAAUACAUGCAAGUCGAGCGAACGGACGAGAAGCUUGCUUUUCUGAUGUUAGCGGCGGACGGGUGAGUAACACGUGGAUAACCUACCUAUAAGACUGGGAUAACUUCGGGAAACCGGAGCUAAUACCGGAUAAUAUUUUGAACCGCAUGGUUCAAAAGUGAAAGACGGUCUUGCUGUCACUUAUAGAUGGAUCCGCGCUGCAUUAGCUAGUUGGUAAGGUAACGGCUUACCAAGGCAACGAUGCAUAGCCGACCUGAGAGGGUGAUCAGCCACACUGGAACUGAGACACGGUCCAGACUCCUACGGGAGGCAGCAGUAGGGAAUCUUCCGCAAUGGGCGAAAGCCUGACGGAGCAACGCCGCGUGAGUGAUGAAGGUCUUCGGAUCGUAAAGCUCUGUUAUUAGGGAAGAACAUAAGUGUAAGUAACUGUGGACAUCUUGACGGUACCUAAACAGAAAGCCACGGCUAACUACGUG